GUUGGGUAGGGGAGCGUUCUGUAAGCCUGUGAAGGUGUGUCGUGAGGCAUGCUGGAGGUAUCAGAAGUGCGAAUGCUGACAUAAGUAACGAUAAAGCGGGUGAAAAGCCCGCUCGCCGGAAGACCAAGGGUUCCUGUCCAACGUUAAUCGGGGCAGGGUGAGUCGACCCCUAAGGCGAGGCCGAAAGGCGUAGUCGAUGGGAAACGGGUUAAUAUUCCCGUACUUGGUGUUACUGCGAAGGGGGGACGGAGAAGGCUAUGUUGGCCGGGCGACGGUUGUCCCGGUUUAAGCGUGUAGGUGUGUGUUCCAGGUAAAUCCGGUUCACUUUAACACUGAGGCGUGACGACGAGGCACUACGGUGCUGAAGCAACAAAUGCCCUGCUUCCAGGAAAAGCCUCUAAGCAUCAGGUAACAUCAAAUCGUACCCCAAACCGACACAGGUGGUCAGGUAGAGAAUACCAAGGCGCUUGAGAGAACUCGGGUGAAGGAACUAGGCAAAAUGGUGCCGUAACUUCGGGAGAAGGCACGCUGACACGUAGGUGAAGUGAUUUACUCAUGGAGCUGAAGUCAGUCGAAGAUACCAGCUGGCUGCAACUGUUUAUUAAAAACACAGCACUGUGCAAACACGAAAGUGGACGUAUACGGUGUGACGCCUGCCCGGUGCCGGAAGGUUAAUUGAUGGGGUCAGCGCAAGCGAAGCUCCUGAUCGAAGCCCCGGUAAACGGCGGCCGUAACUAUAACGGUCCUAAGGUAGCGAAAUUCCUUGUCGGGUAAGUUCCGACCUGCACGAAUGGCGUAAUGAUGGCCAGGCUGUCUCCACCCGAGACUCAGUGAAAUUGAACUCGCUGUGAAGAUGCAGUGUACCCGCGGCAAGACGGAAAGACCCCGUGAACCUUUACUAUAGCUUGACACUGAACAUUGAGCCUUGAUGUGUAGGAUAGGUGGGAGGCUUUGAAG
This 957-nucleotide ribosomal RNA is filed under the name Salmonella enterica. RNAcentral describes it as "bacterial LSU rRNA". It matches the Rfam family "Bacterial large subunit ribosomal RNA", at positions 1223 to 2162 of the family's 2925-position model. The record is from RNAcentral. Lineage: Bacteria; Pseudomonadati; Pseudomonadota; Gammaproteobacteria; Enterobacterales; Enterobacteriaceae. RNAcentral also lists the same sequence under 5 other names.